GGAUAACCUACCCUUAGGACUGGGAUAACCCUGGGAAACUGGGGAUAAUACCGGAUAGGCAAUUUUUCCUGGAAUGGUUUUUUGUUUAAAUGUUUUUUCGCCUAAGGAUGGGUCUACGGCCGAUUAGGUAGUUGGUUAGGUAACGGCUUACCAAGCCAUUGAUCGGUACGGGUUGUGAGAGCAAGAGCCCGGAGAUGGAACCUGAGACAAGGUUCCAGGCCCUACGGGGUGCAGCAGGCGCGAAACCUCCGCAAUGUGAGAAAUCGCGACGGGGGGAUCCCAAGUGCCAUUCUUAACGGGAUGGCUUUUCAUUAGUGUAAAGAGCUUUUGGAAUAAGGGCUGGGCAAGACCGGUGCCAGCCGCCGCGGUAACACCGGCAGCUCUAGUGGUAGCAGUUUUUAUUGGGCCUAAAGCGUCCGUAGCCGGUUUAAUAAGUCUCUGGUGAAAUCCUGUAGCUUAACUGUGGGAAUUGCUGGAGAUACUAUUAGACUUGAGACCGGGAGAGGUUAGAGGUACUCCCAGGGUAGAGGUGAAAUUCUGUAAUCCUGGGAGGACCGCCUGUUGCGAAGGCGUCUAACUGGAACGGUUCUGACGGUGAGGGACGAAAGUUAGGGGCGCGAACCGGAUUAGAUACCCGGGUAGUCCUAACUGUAAACGAUGCGGACUUGGUGUUGGGGUGGCUUUGAGCUGC
Molecule: ribosomal RNA, 691 nt
Filed under: uncultured archaeon
Lineage: Archaea
Description: bacterial SSU rRNA
Rfam family: Archaeal small subunit ribosomal RNA
Source: RNAcentral